Molecule: microRNA precursor, 116 nt
Filed under: Aedes aegypti (yellow fever mosquito)
Lineage: Eukaryota; Metazoa; Arthropoda; Insecta; Diptera; Culicidae
Description: microRNA aae-mir-375 precursor
Gene: aae-mir-375
Rfam family: mir-375 microRNA precursor family (bases 13-102)
Source: miRBase by way of RNAcentral
UGGAAGAAUCCGAGUUACUUAAGCCCAACGUACAGAAACUUGAAUCUGAAUGCCGUUCUAGAUUGGCUUGCUAGAAGUUUGUUCGUUUGGCUCGAGUUAUGCGGAUUCUUCUGAUC